UGCGAAUGAUGUUUCUAGUAAUACUUUUAGUUUUUGCGUCUUCUUCUAUUUUGAUUUCAUGCGAACACACUAAGAAUGUCAACGAAGCUGAGCAAACAAGACGAGUUCUAGUUUCUUCUCAACCUUGGAACUCUCACUAUUUUAAAUCUCAAGAAACGCUAACAAAGCGUAAAGAAAUCACAGGAACAUCGGAACAAGGGAACCAAGACACGGAAAACAAGAAACGAAAUGACAAACUAAUCCGCGGUCGUUCCGCCAGCAUUCGGGCAGACAACACCGGCACCUCAUUCACUACAGACAAUGGAGACAACGCCGCUGCUGUCGGAAAGCCAACUGAGACAGUCCAAGGUAAAGAAAAAACCAAACGCAGUCUGACGG
Molecule: long non-coding RNA, 378 nt
Organism: Corticium candelabrum
Lineage: Eukaryota; Metazoa; Porifera; Homoscleromorpha; Homosclerophorida; Plakinidae
Exons: 3
Source: RefSeq, a predicted model, not a curated record